AAAAGUCGUAACAAGGUCUCCGUAGGUGAACCUGCGGAGGGAUCAUUACAAGUACACUACCGGCCUAACCCGCCGGCUAUGUAUAACCCUUUGUUGUCCGACUCUGUUGCCUCCGGGGCGACCCUGCCUUCGGGCGGGGGCCCUGGACACUUCAAACUCUUGCGUAACUUUGCAGUCUGAGUAAAUUUAAUUAAUAAAUUAAAACUUUCAACAACGGAUCUCUUGGUUCUG
This 231-nucleotide unclassified non-coding RNA is filed under the name Cladosporium velox. Its description in RNAcentral is "partial internal transcribed spacer region". The stretch from base 1 to 48 matches the Rfam family "Eukaryotic small subunit ribosomal RNA", at positions 1784 to 1831 of the family's 1831-position model. Lineage: Eukaryota; Fungi; Ascomycota; Dothideomycetes; Cladosporiales; Cladosporiaceae. The record is from RNAcentral.